AGCGGCGGACGGGUGAGUAACGCGUGGGUAACCUGCCUCAUACAGGGGGAUAACAGUUAGAAAUGACUGCUAAUACCGCAUAAGCACACAGAACCGCAUGGUUCGGGGUGAAAAGCCGAGACGGUAUGAGAUGGACCCGCGUCUGAUUAGCUAGUUGGAGGGGUAACGGCCCACCAAGGCAACGAUCAGUAGCCGACCUGAGAGGGUGACCGGCCACAUUGGGACUGAGACACGGCCCAAACUCCUACGGGAGGCAGCAG
Molecule: ribosomal RNA, 260 nt
Filed under: uncultured bacterium
Lineage: Bacteria
Description: partial 16S ribosomal RNA
Rfam family: Bacterial small subunit ribosomal RNA
Source: RNAcentral